GCCUCGGUGGUGUAGUGGUAGCCUUCGUCUCCGGUACGGAUGAAACGCGAGCUUGACUCUCGUCUGAGGCC
This is a non-coding RNA of Parelaphostrongylus tenuis, 71 nucleotides long. The record is from the annotation of a GenBank genome assembly. Lineage: Eukaryota; Metazoa; Nematoda; Chromadorea; Rhabditida; Metastrongylidae.